UUCAUUAAUCUUUUUUGUUUAUCUCUUUCUGUGAUGUUUUAUGGCUCUUUAUAUUCAAUUCAGUUAACCAACAUUUACUCAACUCACUCCUGCCCAUGACAAAACAUGACCAGGAUAGAAGGCAAAGAGGCUAUCUGAAACUUUUGGUGACCUGGUAAAGUGUUUUAGGACACUGAUGUUAGGAGAUAAUAGGCUCACUAAUAGUAGGACUGGCCGAUAGCUCUUACAAGAGCUCUUCUUCCUAUGCACAUCUGUGCGAAGAUGAUUAAAGAAAUCUCUUAAUCCUGAUGAAUUACCAUUUGGUCUUCAGCGUGCCCUACAUGGAUUUGAUGACAUCUUUUCAUCUGACUUGAGAGUGUCUUGUGAUUCAAAAUGGCUCUAAUUUUCACAUGGGGAAUGGUUGCCUCUGAAAAAUGAAGAAAGGUGAUCUGGUUGGUUCCCUUUGAUGCCUUUGGUCAUAAUGGAUGAUUAUUUGGAGUCCAGUUACUAACCUGAGUGGGAGGCUCUGCUUUGUAGUGAACAUUUACUUUCCUGAAAGGUCUUCUUCCUCCAAUGAUAUGGUGCCCUUCAUCUCAGUCUCAGAGUAUCUUACUUAACUGAAGCUGGAUCUUAUGACAAGUUGCUAAAGCAGCCAGAGAAACGACGGAUCUGAUUAUCUUAGCCAGCUUUAAGAUGGAAACCAGUUGUUGGGAUCAAAUCCAAAGGAUCUCCAUCUGUUUUAAUUAUGACUACUUGAUCAGAGAUGUUUUUCUGUGUCACAGAAACAAUGUGUGUGGUCUUCAGAAAGUCAGAAAAUUGUUUUUGGCUUCAGCUAUAUGAACUUACCCAUCAUUUCUUUCCGGCAAAUUGACCCACUGGCAGAAUUUACUGAAUCAACUAGUCAUUUUGAUAUUGUGUGCACAAAAUCAUCAGGAAACAAACAAAAAAGUGAUCAUGGCCAGAUACAAAGAGGAAAGGGAUCUCAUUUUUUGGUGAGAAAGCCUUGUAUUUUAUUUUUCUUAACUGAUACAGAGUGUCAAUGAUUAUAAGCUAUAUUUUUGAAUUUUUUAAAGCUCUUUUAUUAUUAUAUUUUUCUUGCAUGUGCAAUAUACUUUUUCAGUUUUUUUUAUUAUUUUUUCUCUCCUUUUUAUAUUUGAAGCACAUGUCACCAGUAUUAAGAUUUUCUUUAACUUUUUGACUUUUCAGUGCUACAAGUUUGAAAUACAUUUGCUAAUGCAUGCCCCAAAAGGCUUGUGACUAUAAAAAUGAUGCCACUAAUUAUUUAAAUUAUUAUGGGACUUUGCUUAAUGAUUCUGUCUGAUUCCAGGACAAGAGAUACACACAAGAGCCAUUGCACAAAGCCAAAGAAAAGCAAAUCUAGGAUGGAUUGAUGCACUUCUAGGCCAAUACAAAGGUCUUGAACCUAGUGUGAAGACUCAAGGUUACUAUGUUUAACAUGUGUUAAGACAUAGGCUUUCCUUGUAUCUACACUCACUCUGAAGAUACUCACAGAUGAGUAUCCCCAAAACCUUGGCUCCUACUUGGCUUCUAUAAUCUGGUCCCUUUCUUUUCUGCCUCUCAUAGUGUGGUACCUUUCUGUAGUCCUGGCACUGACUGGGUAAAUGCAUCAUUACUUAGAUCAUUUUAAUUGGGCCCUGAUUCAAGGACCUGUUAUAGAUUUAUUUUUCUUUUACUUGGAAUUUUUACACAUAAGACUUUGAUAGUCUAUAUUUUCAUCCAGAAUUUUUUCUUUUCUUUUUGAUUUUUCUGAUACCUUUUUAAUAUCUCUUGCCAAUUGAUUCAUAUACCUCAGCCAUGCAUCCCUAAGUGAUCCCGGUUUUUAAAUCACCCUCUUAACAGGGGGAAUGUAAAAAAAUUAUCAUUAUUUAAAUUGCAAAGUUUAAAUUCCUUUUGAGAAGAAUUUUAGGUAAAGAAGAUGCUACUUCCCUGAAUUCAGAAACUGAACUGUUGGAGAAGCCAUCAUGAAGAAGCCUCCAGACCACGAACUGCACAAAAUGAACUUUGGGUGUGGUUAAUGAACAU
This 2022-nucleotide long non-coding RNA is filed under the name Monodelphis domestica (gray short-tailed opossum). Its description in RNAcentral is "lncRNA (ENSMODG00000047040.1)". The record is from RNAcentral. Lineage: Eukaryota; Metazoa; Chordata; Mammalia; Didelphimorphia; Didelphidae.